This 939-nucleotide ribosomal RNA is filed under the name Triticum aestivum (bread wheat). Its description in RNAcentral is "partial small subunit ribosomal RNA". The record is from RNAcentral. Lineage: Eukaryota; Viridiplantae; Streptophyta; Magnoliopsida; Poales; Poaceae.
AUGACUGUGCGAAUCUAUAGGCUAAGUUUGGCAUCGAUUUCGUCAUGGUUGUGGACUUAUGGUGUUUGUAUCCUUCCUGCGAGCUUCAUCCGAACUUUGGACCUCCAUGACGAAGCUUCGGAGGUUUCUUUCCGCCGGCCCUCCGGGAGCCAUUGCAUCCCGCGCCAUCCCUUUCAGAGACUCCACUUUUUUCCUGACCUCCACGGCCCUCGCGCCGUCGCCCAUGACCAGCUCAACGCACCUCGCCAGCUCCGGCCCGGAGAAGAUGCCCUCGCCGUUGCGCUCUCCCCUAACGCCGGCAGCCCACUCCUCCUCUAUCAACAUCGCGUUCGUCGGCUGGUCGAACGUGCUCGGCGCGGCGACGACAGCCACGCCCAGCGCCAUGGCCUCGAGCGUCGAGUUCCACCCGCAGUGGGUGACGAAGCACCCCACGGACGGGUGCGAGAGGACCUCCGGCUGGUCGCACCACUCCACCACCAUGCCCUUCCUCUCCUGCACGACGUCCUCGAGGCAGCGGCUCACGUCCUCCUGCCGCCCGUCCUUGCGCACCACGAGCAGGUACGGCCGUCCGCACCGCCGCAGCCCGUCCGCGAUCUCCUCCAUCUGCUGCUUGCUGUACGUCCAUAUGCUGCCGAACGAGACGUACACCACCGACCUCGCCGGCUGCGCCCCGAGCCACUCCAUGUACCUCAUCUUGUCGUCACCAGCGUGGUUAAACAGAUGGAUCCGCGCGUCGGCCGAAGACCCGACCACGGGGCCGACGGCGAACACAUCCAUGUGCUCCCUCAUGGCCGCCAGCGCUGCCGGCUCCAGUUCGUCGAAAGUGUUCACGAGGACCUUGACAUUCCGCCUCUGCUCGUCCAUGAACUCGAACAGCUCACAGAACACCGCGUUGACGACCUUGCCCACCUCACCUCCGGUCGUGUCGACGAGGAAUGA